CCCGUCGCACCUACCGAUUGAAUGGUCCGGUGAGGACUCGGGAUUGUGGUUUAGCUCCUUCAUUGGGGCCUGACUGCGAGAACUUGUCCGAACCUUAUCAUUUAGAGGAAGGUGAAGUCGUAACAAGGUUUCCGUAGGUGAACCUGCGGAAGGAUCAUUA
Molecule: ribosomal RNA, 160 nt
Filed under: Minidiscus sp. RCC4807
Lineage: Eukaryota; Bacillariophyta; Thalassiosirophyceae; Thalassiosirales; Thalassiosiraceae
Description: partial 18S ribosomal RNA
Rfam family: Eukaryotic small subunit ribosomal RNA
Source: RNAcentral